UUAGAAGUAGUUUAAAAAGAACAGUAGCUUUGGGGGUUAUAAGCGCUAUAAAGGCCUUCUAGU
RNAcentral lists this transfer RNA (63 nucleotides) under Geukensia demissa (ribbed mussel). Its description in RNAcentral is "tRNA-Pro". Lineage: Eukaryota; Metazoa; Mollusca; Bivalvia; Mytilida; Mytilidae. The record is from RNAcentral.